Molecule: long non-coding RNA, 17679 nt
Organism: Strigops habroptila (Kakapo)
Lineage: Eukaryota; Metazoa; Chordata; Aves; Psittaciformes; Psittacidae
Exons: 5
Source: RefSeq, a predicted model, not a curated record
CACUUUGGUCACAGUAAGAAGUAAGAGAUUUGGGGUUUAAACACACCCCCCCCGUCUGAGCAGGAGCCACUGGCUUUCACUAGCUGCGAAUCCCGAGUCCAGCACUCGAAAGCACCUCAGCCCCACAGUCCAUUUUUUCCUUGUCUUUAAGUGCAAGCGAUGGGAAUUGCUAACCUUGGCUAAGAAAAUUUCAUUUCCCCCAUCAUGCUAAAUGGUUCUGGUCGACAUAUGUUUGUUAUCAGAGAGAGGUGCUAUGAACACAGAGCCAUUUUCUUAGCAGCUCUUUGACUCUGUGUUACCAUAGUCCCACACGGCAUUGGUCCUUUCCCGUUGGGAAGUCAUGAAUAAGAGACUAUGAAGCUUGCACGUCAGAUCUUCCUCAAUUAAUCCACCAUUAGCAUGUUUGGGAUCCUCUACUGGAUGGUUAACAGCAGCUUUGGUAACUGUAUGCUGUCCAUACCCAAUUAUGCUCUGCUAAAAAUGAACUCUGCAGAACAACCUUCCUGAGCUGUCAGUGUCUCCCGUUUUCCUAUUUUAACGCUUGUGUGUAGUGGCAGGCGACAGAUGGUGUAGAUCAGAUCGAUUUGAUUGCAUUAGGCGAUUUUUUUUUCCUCCUCUCCCCCCCGACUCCUUUUCUGGAAGCCCACAUUCAUCUGAGAGGCGAUCGCCGGGGACAUGGGAAGCAAGAGCAGCCGCCGAUGUGUGAAAGCAACGAGACAUGGCCAGCCAGAGGCGCCGGGUCCCUUCCCGGGGUUUGUUAACAUGGUAAUCCGGCACCAGGAGAGAAAGCUGCUUGCUGCUGCCCACAGCCCGUUCCCCAUCACACAUCAGAUGACUCCCUGGUUUUACACACAGUUGGAGUUCUGCUCGAAGCCUGGAUUUAAAGGGAAUCUGUUGCUGCGUGUGACAUCUCUUGCAAGCUCCGAGAGAGAAUUGAUGGAGCACACGGCUAGGGAAUAGGAUGCCAGAGAAGCACAGAGGGAGAAACGAGGCAAUCACCAGGAUGGGAAGGUUCAGCGUCCAUUGGAUAUGGGACAAGAUCACUCGGCAACCCUUGUGGAUUCUCCUUCUUCUAGAGGGGAAUUAUAGUUAUGGAUUUAUUGUCCCGGUGCAGCACUUCCACCGCUACCACCAGCAACAGCAGCAGCUUUCUGACUCUCUUCGGUGACGGGUAUUCUUGGGUGGAUAAUACGGAUUACGUUGUUAUUGCUUAAGAAUACGCGUAGUCGAGGAGAGUACCGGCGGCGGGCAGGCAGGCAGGCAGCGCGACCGCCCCCAGCCCACCAGCUGGCUCCUAACCUCCUCUAGUUGCCAAGAUGGAAAAGGAGAGACUUUGAGAGGCCGAGUGAUUUGUCCAGGAUGAUGCAGCAAAUCGAUGGAACAAAAAGGGAUCAGGCCACUCCGUGCAGUUGAGGAGUGCCUUUAACUGCCCCAUGGGGUUUUCUAGGGAACGGCAUGCAGGUCCCCAAAGAGGCAGCUUCCAUUGCAGGAGUGUUCCUCCAUUAUUUCUGUCCCAUUAUUGCUGUGAACAAUGGAGCAAUACAAAAUGUAUUAUUCAUCUCUCCUACUCAUAAAAUCAAUACCUAUCAAAACACAAAUACAAUUUAAAUCAAAGGGCACUUGUUGAGUGCAGAUCCUACUAAUUAGGUCUGAUUUCCCAACAAUUUCUUAAAUUAUUUAUUCAAGGGAUGGGUGGCAGCCACUUUACGUGCCCCAGAGUGAAUAUUAUAAACCUCUCGUCAUGAUACAGCAAAUGUGAAGUGUAGUACAAUGCAGUGUGAUUUGUAACCCUGAUGAACUAAUGUAAUAUCAAUAGACAUCAAUCUGUGCAGAAAAAAAUCUGUCUCGUCGUAACAUCUAAUGAGAGAUGUCGAAAGCCAAUAACCUUGUGAAACGGGCACAUCUCGGUGAAGGAUACAGCCUGUGCUGCUAGGAAACAAGUAAAAAUGUAAUACCCACCUGCAGUGGAAGUUACUAAACCACCAGCACCACGAAAGAGGUUUGCAUCAUGCAUGGACAUUUGUCAGGAGAGCAGCUCCCUCCAGGCUGGUGCUUAGUUCUGCAAGCAAUUCCACUGUAAUAUCGGAGCCCUUUCUCUUAUGCUGGUACUGCUUUGUCUAGCCCCGUAGUUAACACCCAAACAAUAUUUAUUCCAGAUCUAGUUAAUUACACUUUUAAAGCCUGCAAAGAAAAGAGCCAAUGGUUUUGGAGACUUUUGUGUACAAAUUAGGAAGCAGCUCUCCUGUACAAUGAAAAUUCGCAUUGCCAGUCAUUAAUGUUAGAUGAGUGUCCUUCGGAUUUUAGUCAUAAGGAUUUUCCUUAUGCAGCUUCUUUGGAUUUGAAUUUUCAAACAUACACUCCCAUCCAUACAGCAGGUCUGAAGAUUCCAUCACACCAGCCAUGUGCCAACUGAGAAUCCUUGGUCCUAACAUACCAGCAUUAUACCUACUCACCAAAUUGUUUCCUAUCAGUGAUUCAAAAGAACAGCCUGAAAUACCGGCUACAUUUUCUCCCCAAUUCUUUGAGAAUAGAUGACUUUAAAAGUGAACAUUUUAUCAUUUCACUUUUUCCUUUAUCAUCUGACAACAAUUUAAGAACAAGUGUAAUUUUGAAACCUAAACUAAAUAGCGGAGCCUGGAGCUGCUAUGACUUCAAAGGCAGCAACGCACAAGAGGCUGAAAUGAAAGCAUCAGAGUAAUUCAGAGCUUAAACUUCUUACCCGGUGCCUUCUCCUCUGGCCUUAAUGGUGACCAGGCUCCCAAAAAAGCUGCCAGGAGCCUGAGCAAAAAGCUGCAGUGGUCCAAAAUGCCUAUGUGCUUCAGCUGCUGCAGGCAUUCUGUGAUCUUCCUACACCAUUGGCAGUACUUAGGUGCAAUUGUGCAACCAGGGAUGCAAGGCAGAGCCUUAAUUCCGGAUUUCAUGGCAUUUCAAAGUACAAGUCAGAAUUGUAAUGGUAUUUAAACCUUCCUUAUUAGUUGCACAAUGAGUGUCUUUCAGCUAGUGUUCUGCAAAAUCCUUCCUGGUGGUAUGUAAAAGACACGGGCUGAAAGUCAGAGAGCUGGAAGUUGAAUGCUGGAUAUGUGGAAAUGGAUCACUGAGCCUGAACUAAUGGGAGGAGUAAGGGAGUCUGAAGAAGCACCGUAUUAAGAUAUUGAGGACUAAUAAGGGAAGUAGCAUGGCACAAAGUAUGAAGCAGCAUGGCAUGAAUACAUGGGUUACAUAGGACAAAUUCACCUUUAAUUAUUCAGCUCUCCUGCUUGUAUUUUUGUUGAAUUUAAUUAAUAGAGGUUUGUCUGGCAUGUAUGAAAACAAAAAUCAAUCCCAGAGUUUUUAAGGUGUAAGUCUUAGCUACAUCAAGUGAAAAUAGACAAUCCUACAUGUAAUGUCGUGCGUUUUCUUAUUCCAAUUAAAUGAGAUAUCUGGAAGGAGCAUCAAACAUUGCAGCUACUGUUUAGUAGUAUUUUCCUUUUCUUCUGCCUAAUUCCUUUCACACGUUUAAAAAGUGUGUGAUUGUAUAGUAGUGACUGCAAAGGUUUCCUGAAUUAACACCAUGGACUCAUUCUAAAUGGAGGGUAGGAGCACAUCUGUUUCGAACAGCUUUGUAAUAUGCCUUUUGUGAGUUCAAGCCACAUCCAGUCGUGACCACUUCAGUGAGCUCCUACAUAUACAACUACUAUUUGCAAUUAUAGUAGCCAAUGCACCUAUAAAAUGGCACGAGCAUUUUGGUGCACUGAAAUAGGUUCCUCUUCUCCCCUCUCCCUUAAGAAUUCAGUUAGUGUUAAGUCAAUCCCAAAGAAAAGUGUGUGUUCUUCCUCACGGCAGAUGUGUUAUUCACCGUGUUGGAUAGGUAUUUUAUAUUUGGCUUGCAUUUCUCUUGAAGAGAGGCAUGACAUUUUCUGUAAUUGUAACUAACCCAAUUUUUCCACCAUGAAUUUUUGUAAUUAUAGAACAUUACUAAUAUAAUUGAAGUAAUAAAAGCAAAGCGAACGGCCUAGAUUAUAUCUCUGGGUUGUAUCGAAAGGUUUAAAGUGUGUGGUUUUGCUGUACAUCACACUGGAUAUAGUUUGGAAGUGAUCACACACGGAAGAUACCAGAUACCCCAUCAUCACCAGCUGAGGGGUGUAUACCUUUCAUAUGAGCCUACCUCAAAUGACUUCCUUAAAUAGGGAAAUAUGCUGUUUUCCACAAAUGUCCUACAGAUAAAGGUUUGUACAGCCCACAGGUAUCUCCAGUGGGCAAAGUGAAAGUAAAGAAAUAGAAACGUGUUCAAUUGACAAAUUUCUGAUGUAACUGAUUUUGCCUUAAACUGUGUAAGGAUCAAAGAAAAGCUUUGCAGGAUAGAUCCUCCUUGGAAUCAUAGAAUGGGUUGGGCUGGAAAAGACCUUAAGAUCGCCUAGUGCCAACCACCUGCAUGGGCAGGGAUGCCUCACACUAGACCAGGUUGCUCUUGAACAUUGCCAAGGAUGGAGCAUCCAUCAUGGUGAUAAGGAGGCAGAGGACUGCAGUGGUGCUGCCUGGCCUCUGUUGUCGUACAGUUUGUAAUGCAUCUGUCCUGUGGAGCAGGAAAAUGCUAUUAUAUUUAGUUUUCAGAGGGAGAGCUAAGACAGGGACAGAUACCACGGGGCCUAUCUGCACACACAAGGGAACUCUGUAAAAGCUGAAGGGUUGAAGAAAGCUGUGUGGAGGCCUUGGCUAACACCCUAAACCAUUAGACCAUACUCACCAGAUUUAUGUUGCCAAGUCUGUUGCCACUGAAAUCUGAAAGCAAACAUUAGCAGCCAAGAGUAUCAUGCUAAUUAAUUGCCUCAGGAGGACAGGAUUUCCAAGAUCUAAUGAAAGAUGGAAUCCAGCUCCCAUAUGUCCCAUUUGAUGGCCCAAGAAAACAUGCCCACAUUUUUCACAGAAACAGUGACAAAUGUCCAGCUACUUGUUUCUCAGCUGAAUAAAACUAAUCUUCAGCCCCAGAGCUGCAAAUGGCUGCUCAUCAUAGAAUCAACCAGGUUGGAAAAGACCUUUAACAUGAUCAGGUCCAACCGUUCCCAGCUCUGCCAAGGCCACCACUAACCCGUGGCACUGAGGGGCUCGGCUACACGGGGUGUGAACACUUGCAGGGACGGUGACUCCAGCACUGCCCUGGGCAGCCUGUUCCAAUGCCUGAGCACCCUCUGGGGAAGGAAUUGUUCCUCAGCUCCAUCUAAACCUCCCCUGGCACAGCUUGAGGCCAUUUCCUCUUGUCCUAGCACCCAGCCUGAAAAGCCAGCCCAGGGUCUGUCACACAGGAACUGUUUUGAUUCACCAUGUCGAAGGCAGCUUCAGAACAGGACAACUGAGCACCAGAGCUCCUCUCUGUGCUGCUGCAUCAGCCAAUAGACCAGCAGGACCCCAUACCUUGCACAUAGCCAGUUCAUUAAUUGGGGGUUGGACUAGAUGAACUUUGAAGAUCCCAUCCAACCCAAACUAUUUUGUGAUCCUAUGAAUCUAUUAUUAAAAUGUUAAUUUUAAUUAUUAUCUUAUUAAUCUAUUAUUAAAAAAUAAAUUAUGCUCUUGAAAAAAUACUGUAAAGAGGACAGAAGCAUCAAUAUCAAUGCAGUUGGCAGUACGUGCCAGCACUGCCUUGCUGUGCUAUGGGCUUAGUUUUGCGUGAACUUGAUAUUCCCGUAGAUGGGAUGUUCAUGCCAGAAGGACAGUUGGUUGCUGGAGAGGGACUCUUCAUCAGGGACUGUAGUGAUAGGACAAGGGGUGAUGGGUUCAAACUGAACCAGGGGAAGUUCAGGUUAGAUCUAAGGCAGAAGUUCUUCCCUGUGAGGGCGCUGAGGCGCUGGCACAGGGUGCCCAGAGAAGCUGUGGCUGCCCCAUCCCUGGCAGUGUUCAAGGCCAGGUUGGACACAGGGGCUUGGAGCAACCUGCUCUAGUGUGAGGUGUCCCUGCCCGUGGCAGGGGGUUGGAGCUGGAUGAUCUUAAGGUCCUUUCCAACCCAAACCAGUCUGGGAUUCUAUAGCCCCAGGGAGACAGCAGGGACUGGAAAACCUGGGCACUCGCCUAAAGAGGGAGGCCUGUCUGUAGAUUAUAGCCCUGUUCUGAAUGGGGAUGUCCUAUCUCCACGUGGCUCUAAGGCAUAUGGAAUUGUUCAGCUUGCGUAAAUUCGUAAUGUUUCUCAUAUUCAUUAUUCAAAGGAUGUGUCUGUUGCCAAGCUGGUUCUCACUUGCACACAUAAGGAAACCUUGUCCUAUGUAAAGACCAGUAUGCUGCUCUGCAGGUGCUGUGGCUGUACCCACAACCUGCCACGUUCGGGGAGAGGUAGGUGUUAGUCUCCACACACAGGAAGGUGGUCCAGCUCUGCUGAUGUGAGGGUUUGAUGCAAUUCCCAGUUCUGUUUGGAUAAAAUUAUCAGGCUGUUGCUGUGCACGCUUCUUUGUUGUACCAUAGAAUCAUAGAAUCAACCAGGUUGGAAAAGACCUUUAAAGGUCAUCCAGUCCAACCGUUGCCCAGUACUGCCAAGGCCACCACUAACCCAUGGCACUGAGGGCCUCGUCUACAUGGUGUGUGAACACUUCCAGGGACAGUGACUCCCUCAGAUCUUACCCUGCAGUGUGAAUGUGUUUCAUGUUUCACAGCAACAGCCCCAGCCCAGCUUUCUUGCCCAGAGGAUGGUAGGGAGCAUCUCGGUGGCCAACCGAACAGAGGGGAAGCUCAGCGCAAACAGGGAAGCAGCAGGAUUGUGGCAGACCCUAGUGUAUAACGCAGGUCUUCUGAGCAUCCCCUUACCCACCCAACCAUCAUUAGUAUGUGCUAAAUGGUCAAUUUCUGGAAACACCCCAAAUUUUCUUCUUCCUCUUUCAUCUUUUCAACAUGAUCCAUGUGAAAUUGCUCAUCUAAAAAGAGUAUCUUGACACCUGGUUUAGUGAAAAUGGCUGCAAGGAGAGCAGGUACAAAUGGCACGGCGAAGUUUUACCUUAAAUAAUGAAGAAAAUCUAUUUUGUUCUAUCGACCCUGAGAUUGAAGAGCAAAAAAAAAAAAUCAUAGGAAGGUCAAGGUAAGUAAUUGUAACACAUAAGGUCUUGUGUAUUUCCUCGAGAGCUCUCAGGUUUGUCCAGAAGAAUGACAUUUCUGAACUUCAAUAAUAUCCACACAGGAGGGCACAUCAUUUUGACAUGUCUCGGUAAAUCAUUUAACACGAUAAGGGCUGCCAUUGUGCAGCCUGUGGGAUAGACUUAGGCACAGCGUAGUUUUCUGCAACUGGGCUUCAAUUUCACUCUAGAUUUUGGGUGACAUAAAGCUCAAAAGGAGCUCCUGAUGCUACUCUCCCAGAGAUGAGAUCAACACUUAUGAGUACAUGUUUUGAUGACACAGCUGAGAAAAUUGAAGUGAUUAUUAUCAUGGAAGGACCAAGGUGAUAAGUACCAUGUUCUGUAUGAACAACUGUCAGUCAGAAAAGCCAACAAAGGUCAUAAUCUGUUAUAUUAAUGUCAUAAAUGUUAUCACACACUGACAUCAUGAUGGUCAACUGGGAUUCUUGUGCUUGUUUCUUUAUUAAGUGCUGCUCUUCUUAAACUUCUCUGUGUCCUGGUCAGACAAGUUGAGUUUUCAUUUUUCUCUCAAAAUAAAGGACUUUCAAGAUUUUCAGCAUGGGUUUUCAGACAGCCGCAUCAUUUUAAGGGUCUUUUUCAGUUAAAGUAACUGGCUGACGUGUCAUAGCAGAAUCCAAGACACCAUGAACAGAGGAGGGAGGAGAAACCAGCAAACACAGUAAUUCCUGACUCUUUAAAUAGUCCCCCAUUGCUUUAUUUGAACUGUUGCCAUCACAUCUGCAUCACUAGGGCGUCUCCAGGCCUCUUGCCCACAUGCUGGGGCUGCUCCAGCUGAGGAUGAGGAGGAGCAGGAUGGCAGAGGUAGGAGCUCCAGUGGUGGCUGCUGCCUGCACCAAGCCAGGACUGUUCCCUGUUGCAAAUCACACCCUUGACAUUCUUCUUGUUGUUGUUGUUUCAGGGUUUUUUAUAUCAAAUAUGAACCAGGGUGAUUCUCAGGAGUUUAUGGCAGUGGAAUGAGAGAGUGUAAAUCGUAUGUCAUGUCUUCUGUGUUGCUGAGCAUUUUCACACCCACAGAGAGCAGGCAGCUCAAUAGAUGUCACCAGUGCAUGGCUCCUCUGAAUUCACUCCAGGUGAAAGGAGUAUCCCCAGGGAUGGAGAGAGUGCUCUCUAAUGAGACUUUCUUCUUGCCAGCACCAAGGGGGGACUGCAUCCAUUGCUGACCAGUUAAGAGCCAGGAGUUGUCACGUUGUGUCAUGUUGUCAUGUUGUGUAAAUACAUGACUGCUUUAGAGCAUGAAGUGUCUGAAGAAUCUUGAAGGGGGCUACAAGGGUGCUGGAGAGGGACUCUGCAUCAGGGACUGGAGCAAUAGGACAAGGGGUGAUGGGUUCAAACUGAACCAGGGGAAGGCCAGGUUAGAUCUAAGGCAGAAGCUCAUCCCUGUGAGGGUGCUGAGGCGCUGGCACAGGGUGCCCAGAGAAGCUGUGGCUGCCCCAUCCCUGGCAGUGUUUAAGGCCAGGUUGGACACAGGGGCCUGGAGCAACCUGCUCUAGUGGAAGGUGUCCCUGCCCGUGGCAGGGGGUUGGAAUUGGAUGAUCUUAAGGUCCUUUCCAACCCAAACCUGGGUUGGAAAGGAUUCUAUGAAAUCUGGGAUUCUAUGAAAUCUGUUCCCAAAACAGGCUCCCAAGCGAGCACAAGGGACGUGAGCUCUGAGCCCAUCCAAAACCAAAGCCUCAUGUCCACACUCACUAACUUUACAAAUUCUGCAGAGGAGUGGCAUCACCUUGAAAUGUGGGUGCAUCGGAGGUGACACAACUACCCCGUGAGCACUGGACACUUGGUUUCCAGCGUUUGGGGGAAUGUUAUGGUAAACUUCAGAAAUGAAGAGAAAUUUAAGGUGAGUUUUCCCGUCCUAUGCAGAGUUCAAAGAGAAAAGCAGGGUAAGUACUGCUGGAAAGUGCCACACUGUAUUUAUUGAGCAUAUCAGAUAGGAGGUAUGGUUUUAUGUCAGCCUUAAAAUUCAGCAUUUCCAGCAGACUCAUGCUGAUGUAUGGGUGCGAUAACAUUGACGCAGGCAGGAGACAGCCACCAGUGAGUCACUGCAGAGUUUCCUCCAGAAGCUGGCUGUCUACAGCAGACAUCCCACUGCACUGCUCAUCUAGUCUGGCUUGUAAAAGUCACCAGCUUGGUCUAGCUUGUACAAUCUACAAAGAAACCAUGUUUGUACCAUGCAGGUAGAUGUUCAAAGUGAAACCAAUACGGGCUAACUUGAAUUGGAGAAGAUAACUGCAAAUCGUUACUUCCAAUGAGAGCAGAAUGCCUGGAACCACAGGCAGGAAAAUACAUUUACAGACUAGGAAAUUAUCUUGGCAAAAUAGUGGAAUGCUUUGUGCUGCCGCACUGUGUGUUCUGAUAGCUGAGGAAAUAAUACUAUGGUGGAAAAGGCUCAGAAUUUCAAAGAGAAAAGCUUUCAUAGCAGAGUGCUUUCACAGGGGAGACAGAGGAGACUGGCUUUUCUGUGUUAGUUAGGGGGAAUACUAAAACCCAAACCAAACAAACAGAAAAAGUAGUUGUUUUUUAUGAUUUAGACCUACAUAGAGUGGCAUCCUAUGAUAAACAAAACCUUUAGCCAAUUUCUCUAGUUUAUAACAUAACCUGCAAAGCCCUUCCUUGUUCAUAUGAGGUUACUUCUCUCUGUGAUUGCAACAAUACUCUUGGCCACAUGUGUUUUCAGAACUGGCAGCAACAAAUCAAGCGGCUAGAGCAGUUUGCAUGUUAUACAGAAGUUUUCAAGCAUGUUUUUAGAGAAAACGCAGCACCCUUUGAAAUUUGGGAACGAAAGCUAUAUACCAUAGUGCUGUUUAUGAUGUCUGUAAAGUGGAUGACACCCAAAGUGCUUUUAGGAUGCUUCAAGGUGUAUCAAAGAGCAUUAGCUUCAGCACAGCUGGAAAUGUCCCCAGAUUCACUUCUGAAUACGUACUUCUUAUUUCUUAUAUCCUACUACAGUUAACACAGGCUUGAUCAUUGUGAAUAAUCCACAGAGUAAGCCUAUUAGGUGAGAUUUAGCAUCUACAUUUUUCUGCUCACAUCUGCUUGCCUGACAUACGUAAUCUGCCAGGAUGUCACAGUUUACAUCCUAUUUUCAUUGGAGGAUAAUGAAACUUGAUGGGUGUCUUCAUCUCCUGCUCCAUCCCUCUAAGAACUGUUUCUGCUUGUCAGCUCCUCCCUACCAGCACUCUUUGGCAUGAUCCUUAGCCAGGUCCUUUAUUAAAGGGGAGUGCACGCAAGGCUUACAGGCAACCACACAAUUUAUCACUGUGCAAAAUGGGUGCAGAAAGUGUUACUUCAAAGACAGUAAGAAAAGAAAAGUGAUGUAGUAAUUUCCUCACCUGAAUGUUGUGGACUUCCUUCUCUCUGCUACAAACACAUGAGAUACACCAGAUACAGAGCUCUGGUGUAUCGCUCUUUGAGCAGUAAUCAGUCAGCAGGAGCUUUCUGAAGACUUUCUUUUCCUUUUAAUUCUUACAAAACUGAACUGGAGGCACUUCAGGAAUUUUAGAUCAGCUCAGUCCGAGAGGUAAAUUAAAAUUAGGGAAAAUUAGACCAUUUCUAAUGAGAUGGUUAUUACACUGGAUAAUGAUGAUUAUUGGUUCUGCUUAAUAAAACUGUCAGCCAAUGCAAAAUAUAUAUUAAGUGGAAUUACAUUACAUUAUAUUUCUAUCAACGCAGAAAUUCAGUGCAUUGCUUUCCCACAAACCAUGGGCAUAACGGAAUGUUAGACAGUGCUCCCUUUUCCAAAUAAGAUGAAACGUGGAGCUUUCAAAACCAGCCUUUAAAAGCCCAGAUUUAAAGCCCAUUAAAUCUAAUGUGGUGAAGAUUCACGCUGACUUCUGUGCCAUGUAGAUCAGGACAUCACUAAAACGAGCAGCGUUCUCUCCUGUUCUCUGUGCUAAAUAUCUAGAUAAUACUACUGUGGUGACUAUUUGACAGUAUUAUUAGCCUGCUAAAGAAAAAACCUCAUAGAUCACACAUUCCCAGCAACCUUGCCUCACUGAGCUCAUUGCUUGCCCAUUCACCUGCUCUUGUGUUCUGAUUUACCUGGCAAAUUAGGAGAUGGACUCAUCGGGUGUACUACACUUUAUUUCCAAGGUGAAAACAAUGAGGAAAAACUAUCUGUUGUUAGCUAAAAAAUGAGAUGCCGCUGUGCAAAACUCAGCAUUGAAGGUGCUUAGAGGUGAGGCAACUCCCCAGGAGCCAGGUUGGACAGGGCCUUGGGCAACAUGGUUUAGUGGAAGGUGUCCAUGCCCGUGGCAGGGGGCUGGAAUUGGAUGAUCUUAAGGACCCAAACCAUUCUAUGAGCCUGCUGGCUCUCCAGAGGCUGGGAAGUGAGGACACUCAGCAUUUUCUAGUUUAAAAGCAGGACAUAACAUCAAACCUUGCCUUGAGCAAGGUCUGCUGUGCUGAGGAAUGAGAGCCAGCUCUCUGGGAGGGUGACUGCCUGCCUCUGCAUCCAGGCCCCAUAUAGCAGUAAACUGCCAAAGGGGGGGGAAGAAAGAAGGGAGGAAGCCAAGAGCACAUUGCUGCUCCCAGACAUUCUCUGUGUAGGGUUUCAUCUAGUAGGAUAUGUUUUUGUGGAAUAUUUUGAUAUAAACUAAGCAACGUAGAAAUGGUGUUUACUGCAGCUACACUAGCAGUGUAUUUUGUAGAUUCUGAGGGACUAAACAAGCAUAACAACUGCAUGACUAGAUAUGCCCCCGUGCCAUUUGAUCCAGUGAACUGGGGCAUGGAGGUGAGCGAGACUUAGAGCACAGAUUUCCCUAUAUAAUAUUAUUUCUUGGAGGAAAUAAAUGCUUAUUACAAACAGCAAUGCAUUAUCUUGAACGAGGAUGAUAAUGUGGUUAAUAAGUCACAACACAUGUGAUUAUAAGGUUUUUAUCAUGCUUUGAAACAUCUACUAACCGAUACGAUUUCUCGUUUUAUGAAGCCCAUUUUGUCGAGUUCCAUAAACAAGGUUCAACAGUCACAAUUUCAUUAGCAUUAUAUUGUUGCCAUGGUAAUGUGGUACCAAUUCAAUUGAUGGGCUUUUCAUCCUGGGCUUAUUAUAGAAUUGCUCUUCCUGUCAAAGAUACAUCUAUAUGGAAACAGCAAACAGACCUUAUCAUCUGAAUAUUAGCACCAAAUUUCGUCGUAUGCUAAUUUGGAUGGGAACGGAGCAUGUUAUUGGCACCGGAUCCACAACCCAUCAGAAACACGAUGGAAGUUACUAAACAUCACACAUGGCAAAGUCACACUCUAAAAUUAGGAAAAUUACUUGCAUUGUUUGCUGCAGUAUCUGAAUUUGUGAUCGCAAAAAGCACUUGGCUCUGCCGUGAUCAUUCUCUGUAACGCUGGCGGGAGGGCACAGUGCUGCAGGUGGGAAUAUUAAAGCGGGAAAAAAAGCAGUUACAAACGCUAAGGGAUAAAACGUGAGCUGAAGGGAUGUUGGUUUUUCUCCUGUUUGCACGUUCUUCAGCAUGUUUGGGGGGAAAUCGCUGUUAAAUACAACGCUUCGGUUACCUGGUCUUUAGAAUGGGGAUAAUGACCCCCUUCCCCCUCUGGUGUAUGCCCGAUAACAAGUGAUAGCAGGUACUGCUAAAACAUCGUUAUUAAGUGAAGUAGCAAUGGCUUUACCAGCUCCAGGAAAAUACACUGCACACAGCUACAAUUUGAGAGACGUCCCUGGGAGAACGUGGACUCACCCAGGGAAACACAGGAGAGUUGGCAAGAAAGAGCAGGCAGCAGAACAUGUGUGCUUAUGAAGGAAAGAUACUCACAUCAUUACAAAAUCAUGCCAGUUUGUAGGGGUUUUAAAAAUAAAGACUAUUGUAGGCUACAGGACAAGUGUCUGCAGCAAUCUGAGCAAGGAGAGCAGCAAUACAAUACAAGGCAACAGCGGGGUGCCUUGUUUAUUGUAUGUUGAAACGUUUUCUUGUAUAUUUUCACUGGGUUUUGAUGAUUGUUUCCUAUUUAGAUAGGAAAUAUCUUUUUCCAUCCUGACACAUAAUGUUCAGUCUAUCAUUUCUUAGCUUAAUCAUGUUGCGUCCUUUGCAGCCGCGAAGGUAAAUUACAGGCAGGAUAGUAUUCCACAUAAUCAAAGAUGUGCUCCAUUUUACAUGAUAAGUUUUGUCUGAUUUAAAAGGCAGCAUCUUCUCCAGCUGAAAAGGAAAGAGAAACCUUCGCUUGCAGCUAAGAACACCUCAGAGGAGAGGCUUCUCCUCCAUUAGGAUCUGAUCGUUCAUACAAAAACCUGACCAUUGUUACUACUAUUAUGUCUUUAUUUACUUUCACCCUGAUAGAGCCACAGGACCCAGCUGAGACUGGCAUCUACUUGUGCUAAGCACAGCAAAGCCACACAGAGAGCCACGCUCCCUUCUUUAGACAAAUUAUAAGCUUAAGAGGCACGAGAAAGACCAGAGAGGAAAGAAAAAUAGAGAGAGGUGGGGAGAGCCAGCUUAAAUCCCUGGCUAAAGGUCAGGGUGGCAGAAGCAGAGCAGAUCUCCAGCCUGGAUUUCCUCCAUUGGGAUGCUGCCCCACUGGGCUGAAUGGGAUAUUUAGAGCUAUCCUCCCCCAAAUUCAGAGGAUUCAGACCCUAACCAUACACAGAACCACACAGAAAUUAGCUUUCCCCCCCUCAUUUCAAUGCCUGCACCUAUGUUGCUGAGCAGGGGCAGGCCGAGGCAAAGCUCAAAGUCAGCUGUGCAGCCCACCCGUAUUACCUAUUAAAACACCUUCAGGCUGGCUUCAGGGCAACCCUGUUAAUCCUCCCAGGGACAAAGGCUCAGGAAUACCCUGUGUUUCCGAGCAUGUUCAAGGGCAGCGGGGUCAGGGUACCUGCCAGAGGAAUAUUAAUGGGUUUCCACACCACAUCCGAGGCAGCAGGGAUCAGCCUUUCUGCCUCUGUGGUAGGGACUUCCAAACACAAGCCUGAACAGAUGGAGGGAGGAGCGGGGAGAGUGAGAUUUCGGUCACGGGAGCAAAAAGUCAGUAUUGCACCAGGAUUUGAAGGCUUUGAUCACAAGAAAUACGAUGUCUUAGAUGAGGAAAGCGUUGCCUUGGAGUUUUUCUUGCUUUCUCCCUCUCUCUUAAAAACCUGUAUAAUGUAAAACUGUUAAACUGGGGGAGGAGACGUUCAUCUUCUGAUCAGUAAAUACUUCCUUUUGCUGUGUGGUGCCUGCUGACUUUACUGCUGCUGCAGCCUUUUACAAUGCUUCCAGGAAAUCUCAUUAGAGUUUAACUUUAUUUUCUUUUAUUAUUAAGGAAUCUGAGGACAGUUUCUAAUAAUCCCGAUUUAACUUUUUAAUAAAACCUGCAAAUAAUAUGCCUGCAUGGAUUUGAUCUCAUAUCCAUAGCUGAUAAAAACUCUGAUCUGUAGUCAAAUUCAUUAGCCAGGGCUCUGUUGUCAUCAUAUUGAUGACUAUAAAAGCUGGCAGCUUUAAAACUGCAAUAUUAGAGCAAGGCUGUAUUUUUGUUUUCUAACGGUUUUGUGUUUUCCAUUCAGUAUGGGUGAAGAUUAAGAUUUCACAUGCAGAAGUAAUAUCCAUUAUGAUGGGAUUGUCCAUGAUGAAUUGAGUGGGACAUUUGCUUAAUUAAAAGUAUUUAUCUUAGAUGAUUUAAGAAGUCUGUCCUACUAUGGAACUGAUGAUGUAAAUGAGUUUCCUUUAAUCAGUUCACUACUGAGGACUCUCCUUAGACUGAAGAGAGGAAGAAAAAGGUAAGAGGAGAGUGAGCAGGGCAGGGUGCAGGAGAGCAGAGCUGCUGUGGCUGGGGAAUUUGGGCAGAGAAUGGGGAGCAGAGCCAAGGCAAAGGGCAGAGAUAUAGGAAGUGCUCUGACCUGCGCCCCUGGGUGAUUUUAGGCAUCUGUUUAUAACAACAUACCUUUAAGGGAGAGCCCUAACUGGUGGAGUGUUUCAACCUAUUUCAAUGUUACAGCCUAAGUCUCCUGGACUAGCCCAUCUUCCUUCCUCACCAUGCCAAAUGACCCAUGGAAAGCUGUAGAUCUUCAGUCUGUGGGGACAACCGAACAUCGGCAACUUCUGGGAAUGCUGCUGCAAGGUGAGCCUCGCACCCUGCCUAUGCUCUGUGCUCCCAGAUGUUUGGUUCCACGAUGGCAGAAGGAGCAACAUCUGGAGUUCUGCUGCUCCCACCGGACACCCAACUACCAGACCCCGACCCAGUGUGACUGCUUCUGGCAUCUGCUGGUGGAGAUGCUGCUGGGGCUGGCUUUGCCCUGCUUGCUGCUGUCUGCUUGUCUUAUUCUUCUGAGUUAUACCCCAGCCCACUCCUGUCGUUUUGUGCAUCUGCCUCUGGGCCGUGUUGAGUUUUCAAUUAUCCCCACAUAGAGAUGCUACGUAAAACAGCGUGCGGGGCUCGAGCAGGCUGAACGCAGUAGAAAUACACUUAAAUAAAAAGUACUGCUAUAAUACCAGGAGGCUGAUUGGAAGCACAAGAUAGCAGUGUCAUAUCCUGUGGCUUUUAUGUUGGUAGAUGUAGAUUUUAGCCAUUAAAGUCUAGCUAUCCAACAAAUAACAACCAGAGGAAAUGGAUCUGGGUGUCUUUGGUUGUGAAUAACAUACACUUUCACCAGUAAAUGUAGGACAUGGUAAAUUGCCACAAGACAGACUUUUGAGAUACCUACAAACAUAAUCAGGCAUGUAAUAUGUGGUAGCAUCUCUGUGUAACUUAAAGAAGCUCCCUGUGGUUGGAACUAGAUGAUCUUAAAGUCCUUUCCAACCCCAACCAAUCUACAAUUCUAUGAUUCUACUCACAAUAUGUUUAAAGCAUACGUCAAGAGAGCUCUUACCUCAGAGAACCAAUGUGUGGUUCCGUUGGCAACUCCAAAUUCAGGCACGGAAACAAAGAGCAAGUGCAGGUCUCAACGUCUGUACAUGUACAAGCAGUAAAAUCUCCCCCAAAUCAGGUAUCAUGAUUCCUAGGUGGGGGUAAAAUGCUAUGACAAAGGAGGGGCAAAUAAGCAUAAAAUACACUAACGUAAAAUGUGCCUGUUAUUAACCUCUAGAAGAGCUCAACAGCCCGAAUUGUAGAACGUGGUAUGUAGACAAAUGUAAAGAGAGCAACACAUUAAGCGUGUUUUUCUCCAGAGCAAAAUGAAAUAGGCAUACGGUGCAAAUUAUAAUAUUUAGUACUUUCAGGGCAAAUUCUAGUUGAGGAUCACAAAGUAAUUUGAAAGUAUUAAUGAAUUAGCCUCACAGCUAGCUUUCAGGUAGAUAAUAAUGAUAAUUAUUACUAUAAAUACAUAUUAUUAUUAUCAUUCAUCCUCCGAAGAAAUGAAAAUUGAGGCCUAGAGAAUUUAUAUAUUUGUCCAAAGUCUGUGUUUUAUUCCUGUAACCAUCCUCCUCUAGAACCAUUAUAUAUCAAGUUUAUUAUUUUCCAAAUACUGCAUGAGAUAUACGAUGCAGUUUAUGAGCUCUAAACCCCAACCAGCUGAGCUCCCUUACAAAACAGUGCCUGUGAACAUCUCCAUUUGCAUUUGAAUUCUCAAGCAGCAACAAUCCUGCUUAAAAAAAAAAAAAAAACCUAUGAAGAAAAAAGGAAUCAUGAAAAUCAGUAGAAAAUCUGUCAAGGCCCCAUCUGUGAGUGGGUAUCAGAAUAGCGCUAAGAAGCUCUGAGGAACAAAGUUCAUCCCAAGUCUAACGCAUAGUGCUUUCUGGUCGAUGAAAUGAAUUCAAGCAGGGUGAAAUGAGGGCACAUACCAUGAAAAAGUGUGUUCCCCCACCGAGGAGUGAAGGAAAGCAGCAUUUCUGCUGCGUGUGUGGUCUUGGUGCAUGUAGCCGUGCUUACAUACUAAAGGUCUUACAAAGGAAAAUACUCAGUGUGCUCACGUCUCCUUUUGAAAGCCACACUUCUUUGGGGAGCAUCAGGGAAUGAGUGAUCUCUGGUCCUGACAAGAUGAGGACUUGGAUUAUGUAUGCUUGUUGCAAAAAGCAAGCUUUCAUAGCCAGCUACCUGAAGUAGUAUGGAAACAAAAUUAGAGAGUUUCCACGCUGGCCUUGAAAAUGCCCACACAAACAUGUUGAUUUCCUUCUGAAUGGGAAUAUAUAAAGGUUAGGGACACUUAUUCGUAGGCUAUUUAUAUAUAUCCUCUCAGGAUCUGAAUUGCUAAGAGCCUUGGCCUUAGCUUUUUGCUCUCACACAUGCGAUAUUUGGAACUAACGACAGCAAAGGGGGGAACCACAGCGUUAACACCAUUCUAAUGCACCAGAUUAUUUUUCUGUCCCUUUUUUCUAACCAUUAGAGUAUGCAAAUGUUCCAUUAACUGGUCCUCAUGUUUUCCCUUUAUUGAAUUGCUUUCACGAUGGCAAAUAAAUAUUCAUAAAGAAGUGCGGACAAUAAAUCAUUUCAAAUAGUUCAAAGCCAUUUUCUUCCUAGGCUGCAUAUAUAUUCAGCUGUGACUCGCCUUUAAUAUUUCAUUCAAAAAGAGAGACUUGUAGAAGGACAAUACAGAUAAUGUGUCAAGUAGUAAUUAAAACAGGGGGUAAUGAUUAAAACCAUUUUGAUCUGCAUUGUACUCUGUCAAAUUCAUCAUCUCCUGUGUUUGUUAAGAUGACUUUCUACUUCCUUUAUACAGAAACUCAAAAUAAACUUCUUUUUGAAGACA